CGGCUCACCAAGGGGACGAUGCGUAGCCGACCUGAGAGGGUGAUCGGCCACACUGGGAGUGAGACACGGCCCAGACUCCUACGGGAGGCAGCAGUAGGGAAUCUUCCNCAAUGGACGAAAGUCUGACGGAGCAACGCCGCGUGAGUGAUGAAGGUUUUCGGAUCGUAAAGCUCUGUUGUUAGGGAAGAACAAGUGCAAGAGUAACUGCUUGCACCUUGACGGUACCUAACCAGAAAGCCACGGCUAACUACGUGCCAGCAGCCGCGGUAAUACGUAGGUGGCAAGCGUUGUCCGGAAUUAUUGGGCGUAAAGGGCUCGCAGGCGGUUUCUUAAGUCUGAUGUGAAAGCCCCCGGCUCAACCGGGGAGGGUCAUUGGAAACUGGGAAACUUGAGUGCAGAAGAGGAGAGUGGAAUUCCACGUGUAGCGGUGAAAUGCGUAGAGAUGUGGAGGAACACCAGUGGCGAAGGCGACUCUCUGGUCUGUAACUGACGCUGAGGAGCGAAAGCGUGGGGAGCGAACAGGAUUAGAUACCCUGGUAGUCCACGCCGUAAACGAUGAGUGCUAAGUGUUAGGGGGUUUCCGCCCCUUAGUGCUGCAGCUAACGCAUUAAGCACUCCGCCUGGGGAGUACGGUCGCAAGACUGAAACUCAAAGGAAUUGACGGGGGCCCGCACAAGCGGUGGAGCAUGUGGUUUAAUUCGAAGCAACGCGAAGAACCUUACCAGGUCUUGACAUCCUCUGACAACCCUANANAUAGGGCUUUCCCUUCGGGGACAGAGUGACAGGUGGUGCAUGGUUGUCGUCAGCUCGUGUCGUGAGAUGUUGGGUUAAGUCCCGCAACGAGCGCAACCCUUGAUCUUAGUUGCCAGCAUUNAGUUGGGCACUCUAAGGUGACUGCCGGUGACAAACCGGAGGAAGGUGGGGAUGACGUCAAAUCAUCAUGCCCCUUAUGACCUGGGCUACACACGUGCUACAAUGGACANAACAAAGGGCUGCGAGACCGCCAGGUUUANCCAAUCCCACAAAUCUGUUCUCAGUUCGGAUCGCANUCUGCAACUCGACUGCGUGAA
Molecule: ribosomal RNA, 1070 nt
Filed under: Bacillus pumilus
Lineage: Bacteria; Bacillati; Bacillota; Bacilli; Caryophanales; Bacillaceae
Description: bacterial SSU rRNA
Rfam family: Bacterial small subunit ribosomal RNA
Source: RNAcentral